CAGCAGUAGCCACGGGAAUACAGAGGGUGCGAGCGUUAAUCGGAUUUACUGGGCGUAAAGCGUGCGUAGGCGGCUAAUUGAGUCGGAUGUGAAAUCCCCGAGCUUAACUUGGGAAUUGCAUUCGAUACUGGUAAGCUAGAGUAUGGGAGAGGAUGGUAGAAUUCCAGGUGUAGCGGUGAAAUGCGUAGAGAUCUGGAGGAAUACCGAUGGCGAAGGCAGCCAUCUGGCCUAACACUGACGCUGAGGUACGAAAGCAUGGGGAGCAAACAGGAUUAGAUACCCCCGUAGUCCCUGUCUCUUAUAC
Molecule: ribosomal RNA, 304 nt
Filed under: uncultured bacterium
Lineage: Bacteria
Description: partial 16S ribosomal RNA
Rfam family: Bacterial small subunit ribosomal RNA
Source: RNAcentral